Molecule: ribosomal RNA, 324 nt
Filed under: uncultured eukaryote
Lineage: Eukaryota
Description: partial 18S ribosomal RNA
Rfam family: Eukaryotic small subunit ribosomal RNA
Source: RNAcentral
CCCUUAGAUGUCCUGGGCUGCACGCGCGCUACACUGAUGUGUCCAGUAAGCACCUAACCUCUUCCGAAAGGAACGGGUAACCUUCGCAAAGCACAUCGUGAUGGGGAUAGAUUAUUGCAAUUAUUAGUCUUGAACGAGGAAUUCCUAGUAAGCACAAGUCAUCAGCUUGUGUUGAUUACGUCCCUGCCCUUUGUACACACCGCCCGUCGCUCCUACCGAUUGAAUGUUCCGGUGAGCUCUUCGGACUGCGCGGUCUGCAGUUUCUGCGUUCCGUGCGGAAAGUUGCGCAAACCUUAACAUUUAGAGGAAGGAGAAGUCGUAACA